AGCGAACGCUGGCGGCAGGCUUAACACAUGCAAGUCGAGCGGGCACUUUCGGGUGUCAGCGGCGGACGGGUGAGUAACGCGUGGGAACGUGCCCUCUGGUUCGGAAUAACUCAGGGAAACUUGAGCUAAUACCGGAUACGCCCUUUUGGGGAAAGGCUUGCUGCCGGAGGAUCGGCCCGCGUCUGAUUAGCUGGUUGGUGAGGUAACGGCUCACCAAGGCGACGAUCAGUAGCUGGUCUGAGAGGAUGAUCAGCCACACUGGGACUGAGACACGGCCCAGACUCCUACGGGAGGCAGCAGUGGGGAAUAUUGGACAAUGGGCGCAAGCCUGAUCCAGCCAUGCCGCGUGAGUGAUGAAGGCCUUAGGGUUGUAAAGCUCUUUUAUCCGGGACGAUAAUGACGGUACCGGAGGAAUAAGCCCCGGCUAACUUCGUG
This 435-nucleotide ribosomal RNA is filed under the name uncultured bacterium. Its description in RNAcentral is "partial 16S ribosomal RNA". It matches the Rfam family "Bacterial small subunit ribosomal RNA", at positions 29 to 507 of the family's 1533-position model. The record is from RNAcentral.